GGAGUUGAGAUUUGGCUAUGAAAUCAGUCACCCCACUAAUCACCAGUUUGGCUGAUUUGGCUGGGUAGGUGGGUGUUCACUUCUUCUCUCACAGCUCCACAUGCAUCCCUCCUGAAACUGUGAAUUUGAUCGAAGAGAAUGAUCUUCUCUGAUUAAAGAGGACUGGUCUUCAGUCAAGGGUAUGAGAGUAGCUGUGCUCCCCUGCUAAAACCUUCAAAUCAGCACUCAUCAGUCUUAACCAAGGUCAACAAUCUCUAAGGAUGGUGCCCUCAUUCAUUGCUUUUCUCCUCAUAAAGAAUAUUGUUAAU
This is an unclassified non-coding RNA of Nannospalax galili (Upper Galilee mountains blind mole rat), 308 nucleotides long. Its record names the gene 7SK. It matches the Rfam family "7SK RNA". Rfam says of the family: 7SK was discovered as an abundant small nuclear RNA in the mid-70s but a possible function has only recently been suggested. Two independent studies have found that 7SK RNA binds the CDK9/cyclin T complex (known as elongation factor P-TEFb). P-TEFb activates transcription by phosphorylating the C-terminal domain of RNA polymerase II. NCBI's taxonomy places the organism in Eukaryota, Metazoa, Chordata, Mammalia, Rodentia, Spalacidae. The record is from Ensembl.